UUUGAUGGCGACCGGCGCACGGGUGGAGUAACACGUAUCCAACCUGCCGAUGACUCGGGGAUAGCCUUUCGAAAGAAAGAUUAAUACCCGAUGGCNUAGUUCUUCCGCAUGGUAGAACUAUUAAAGAAUUUCGGUCAUCGAUGGGGAUGCGUUCCAUUAGGUUGUUGGGCGGGGGUAGCGGCCCCACCAAGCCUUCGAUGGAUAGGGGUUCUGAGAGGAAGGUCCCCCACAUUGGAACUGAGACACGGUCCAAACUCCUACGGGAGGCAGCAUG
Molecule: ribosomal RNA, 274 nt
Filed under: uncultured bacterium
Lineage: Bacteria
Description: partial 16S ribosomal RNA
Rfam family: Bacterial small subunit ribosomal RNA
Source: RNAcentral